RNAcentral lists this ribosomal RNA (335 nucleotides) under uncultured Planctomycetales bacterium. Its description in RNAcentral is "bacterial SSU rRNA". It matches the Rfam family "Bacterial small subunit ribosomal RNA", at positions 473 to 806 of the family's 1533-position model. The record is from RNAcentral. Lineage: Bacteria; Pseudomonadati; Planctomycetota; Planctomycetia; Planctomycetales.
CUAAGGCUCCGGAGGAAGCCACGGCUAACUCUGUGCCAGCAGCCGCGGUAAUACAGAGGCGGCAAGCGUCGUUCGGAAUUAUUGGGCGUAAAGAGCACGUAGGCGGCCUUGUAAGUCAGUUGUGAAAGCCUUCUGCUCAACGGAAGAACAGCAUCUGAUACUGCAAGGCUAGAGUGCGGAAGGGGAGAGUGGAACUUCUGGUGGAGCGGUGAAAUGCGUAGAUAUCAGAAGGAACACCGGCGGCGAAGGCGACUCUCUGGUCCGUAACUGACGCUGAGUGUGCGAAAGCUAGGGGAGCAAACGGGAUUAGAUACCCCGGUAGUCCUAGCCGUAAA